UGAACAAUCGGAGUCUAGAAUACAUUCUGGCCUGCACCCUUCGUACGGAUUUCCUAUGUAGCCCGAGAGACACGCGCAAGAGCCUACGUUGUUUCUUUCGGUGCAUCUCGCAUUAGGCCCGCAAGGAGAGGCACAUAGGCGUGUGACUGACAGUACGACAUUGUGCAUUCUCUCCACAUGAACCAAUACAAGGAUUUUUACAUUUUUGGUUCACACAAGCUUGAUAACUCGGACACUCGCUAUUGCUGAUACACUCAGGUCUGCAAUUCGGUGGAGAACCGAUAAAAUCAGGUAAACAUAUGCAGGAAGAUGAAUUUUCUGAUAUUUGACACUGAGCAUUGGGUCCACAAGGUGAAGAGUAUUCGUAUGAUAAUUAAAAGAAAACUUACGAAGUAAAAAACAUCUAACGAAUGGAUCACCCGUGAAUCCUUCAGGACAAUGACAAAUAGGAUUACGAUUUGCAACUGUGCAACGAGCUUCCAAACCACACGAACCGAUGCAAGGAUUUCUACACUUCUGAUUUGUGCAAAUUUCAUUUGGUGGACAUUCAGAGCUAAUUAUACACUCUGGACGACAAUUCGGAGCACGGAAACAGGCAGUGAAAGGAUCUCCAGUGUAUCCAUUGUUGCAGAAACAAAUAGGACUAUGAUUAAUAAUCCUACAAUUGGCAUUCACGCCACACGAAUUGGGACAUGGAUCUAUGCAUUUCUGAUUAACGCAGGCUCGUGUCAGAGAGCAUUCAGUGCUAACUACACAUUCUGGUCUGCAAUUAGGUGGACUGCCAAGGUAAGAUGAUUUACAAGAACAGACUGCUUGAUUAUUGUUUACGCGACAUUCGCUAUUUGGCCCACAAGGUGAAGGAUUGCAAGGAUUCACUAUCACAUCUUCUUCUAGAAUAUAAUAGGAGAAUGAUAGAUUUGGAAAAUGAAAUUAAGUGAUGUAGAUUUUUAAAUGAGUAUGAUAGUUAAAGUAUUUAAAAAUAUAUAGAAUAUUCAGAUGACAUAGAAGAUACAUUUUUAAAAAUUUCAGAGAAUAAUAGAUUUUACAUGAUAUUCAAUGAAAUCAAAUAAAAUAUUCUUUGAUUUUUCUUUAAUAUCUACAUCAUUUGAAUUUCUCAAAAAAAUAAAUAUAAUCAAUCCUUACGUUUCAUUGGACUCAAAUUGCAAUAUCUAAAUGGGUCUCCCGUAUAUCCCUGUAUACAAAUGCAUACUGGCAAAUGAUUCACAACAUUGCACAUGGCAUUCGGACCACAAGUGCCUGGACAAGGAUCCUGGCAUUUGGAUCUUAUGCAUGCAAGAUUCGCUGUACAAUCUGAAUUCACGACGCAUUCUGGUCUGCAACCCUCGUAAGGGUUUCCUAUGUAAUCAGGCAAGCAAGAGCAAGCACCUGCAUUUCCUGAUUCUUUACAAAUCGCGUUCGCGCCACAUGGUGUUGGUAUACAAGUAUUAAAAAUAAAAUCGAAUGGGACAAACUUACUUUGAAGGGGACUGCAUUGAACAAAAGGAUCUCCAGUGAAUCCUGUACGACAAGAGCAAAUCGGAGUAUGACUGAACACGCUGCACUCAGCAUUAGCUCCGCAUAAAUCAGGACAUGGAUCUUUGCAUUUCUGAUUAAUACAAGCUUGUCGAGUUGAACACUCGCUAUUGCUAACACAUUCUGGUCUACAAUUUGGCGGGGAUCCCGUGAAUUCUGGCAAACACGAGCAUGAGGGUGCUUGAUUCAUAAUUUGACAUUGAGCAUUUGGACCGCAAGGUGAUGGGUAACACGGAUUGAUCGGUUCUGGAGAUGUUUCGACUGUGAAACGAAUUCAGUAAAAAUAAUAAAAAAAGACUUUAAACGAUAUUUUGUUUAAUGACUAAUAUCUUACCUAUAACAGUACAAACAGCGAAAGGAUCACCACUCAAACCUUGAGGACACCUGCAAAUGGGAUUAUGAUUGACCACGGAGCAUUCUGCUCUUACACCACAACUUCCGGGACAAGGAUCUCUGCAUUUCUGAUUGACACAAGCUUUGGAAAGCUCGCAAUCUGAACUAACGACACAUUCUGGUCGACAAGUAGGUGGAUUGCCCAUGAAACCUUCUAUACAUUUGCAAACUGCGAUUCCAUUUACUUCUUGACAAUGACUAUUCGGUCCACAAGGUGAUGGAGUGCAAGGGUUUUGUAUUGUAUCUUCUAAUGAAAAGAAGAAUGUAAAUUUAAUAUCUUCAAUUUUAAAUUUUAUGGAAAUUAAUGAAGGAAGAUUUAACAUAUUGUACCCUGAACUGGAGAACAGGAAACAAAAGCGUUUCCGGACAUGCCAAUAGGACAGUUACACAUGGGAAUGUGAUUAAUCGUCUGGCAUUGUGCGUUCUGUCCACAAGUUCCUAUACAUGGAUCUAUGCAUUUGUUUCUUAUACAUGCUCUGUCACGAGCACAGUCAGUAUUCAUCACACAUUCUGGUCGACAACCACUAUAAGGAUCACCUUGGAAUUCCGGAAGACACGUGCAAGAACCAUCGCGACAAAGCGCAUUUGCUCCACAUGAUAUUUUUGAAUUUUUGAAUAAGAAAUGGAAAGAAUAUAAUCAG
Molecule: long non-coding RNA, 2567 nt
Filed under: Apis florea (little honeybee)
Lineage: Eukaryota; Metazoa; Arthropoda; Insecta; Hymenoptera; Apidae
Description: uncharacterized LOC116415358, transcript variant X1
Source: RNAcentral